Long non-coding RNA from Orbicella faveolata, 294 nucleotides. NCBI's taxonomy places the organism in Eukaryota, Metazoa, Cnidaria, Anthozoa, Scleractinia, Merulinidae. The record is from RefSeq and is a predicted model, not a curated record.
AUGUGUCCUUCAAUCCUCAUGUUAACUUGUUCAUAAAGCCAAAUCUGAAUUCUUGAUCUCUGAAGAUAACAAACAGACUAAUAAAUAAACACAUAGGAAUUUGCAUAAAAUAGAACAUACAGGCCUGAGCACAGUCCAGUUUCAAAGAGGUUACACUACUUCAUGAAAUAAUACAGUUUAUUUCCUCAUGCAUGAUUAUAUGUGGUAGAUUAUUAUCACAUGGAAAUGAUGUAGCUUAGAAUUUUUGAUAUAAUGUUACAGAAAUUUAAGCUUUGUCUUGUUAUUAAUAAUUAU